Molecule: ribosomal RNA, 868 nt
Filed under: uncultured bacterium
Lineage: Bacteria
Description: bacterial SSU rRNA
Rfam family: Bacterial small subunit ribosomal RNA
Source: RNAcentral
CUGCGUUGCCGGGUAUGUCUUCACAUGCAGUCGACGGGCUUGAGGGGCUUGCUCCUCAAGUUAGUGGCGAACGGGUGAGUAAUGCAUCGGAACGUACCUAGUCGUGGGGGAUAACGUAGCGAAAGUUACGCUAAUACCGCAUACGUCCUACGGGAGAAAGCAGGGGAUCGCAAGACCUUGCGCGAUUGGAGCGGCCGGUGUCUGAUUAGCUAGUUGGUGGGGUAAAGGCUCACCAAGGCGACGAUCAGUAGCGGGUCUGAGAGGAUGAUCCGCCACACUGGAACUGAGACACGGUCCAGACUCCUACGGGAGGCAGCAGUGGGGAAUUUUGGACAAUGGGGGCAACCCUGAUCCAGCCAUUCCGCGUGAGUGAAGAAGGCCUUCGGGUUGUAAAGCUCUUUCGGCAGGGAAGAAACGGUCCGCUCUAACAUAGCGGGCUACUGACGGUACCUGAAGAAGAAGCACCGGCUAACUACGUGCCAGCAGCCGCGGUAAUACGUAGGGUGUGAGCGUUAAUCGGAAUUACUGGGCGUAAAGCGUGCGCAGGCGGCUUUUUAAGCCAGAUGUGAAAUCCCCGGGCUUAACCUGGGAACUGCAUUUGGAACUGGAAGGCUAGAGUGCGGCAGAGGGGGGUAGAAUUCCACGUGUAGCUGUGAAAUGCGUAGAGAUGUGGAGGAAUACCGAUGGCGAAGGCAGCCCCCUGGGUCGACACUGACGCUCAUGCACGAAAGCGUGGGGAGCAAACAGGAUUAGAUACCCUGGUAGUCCACGCCCUAAACGAUGUCAACUAGUUGUUGGAGGAGUGAAAUCCUUUAGUAACGAAGCUAACGCGUGAAGUUGACCGCCUGGGGAGUACGGUCGCAAGAUU